GAUGAACGCUGGCGGCGUGCCUAAUACAUGCAAGUCGAGCGAACGGACGAGAAGCUUGCUUCUCUGAUGUUAGCGGCGGACGGGUGUGUAACACGUGGAUAACCUACCUAUAAGACUGGGAUAACUUCGGGAACCGGGGCAAAAACCGGAAGAAGUUUUUGAUCCCAUGGGUGAAAAGGUAAAUAUCGGCGUUCGGGGAAUUAUAGGAGGAUUCGCGCUGCGUUAGUUAGUUGGUAAGGUAACGGCUUACCAAGGCAACGAUGGAUUGCCGACCUGAGAGGGUGAUAGGCCACACUGGAACUGAGCCACGGUCCAGACUCCUGCGGGAGGCAGCAGUAGGGAAUCUUCCGCAAUGGGCGAGAGCCUGACAGAGCAACGCGGAGUGAGUGAUGAAGGUCUUCGGAUCGUAAAGCUCUGUUAUUAGGGAAGAACAUAUGUGUACGUAACUGUGCACAUAUUGACGGUACCUAAUAAGAAAGCCACGGCUAACUACGUG
This 496-nucleotide ribosomal RNA is filed under the name uncultured bacterium. RNAcentral's name for it is "partial 16S ribosomal RNA". It matches the Rfam family "Bacterial small subunit ribosomal RNA", at positions 28 to 507 of the family's 1533-position model. The record is from RNAcentral.